This 479-nucleotide ribosomal RNA is filed under the name uncultured bacterium. RNAcentral describes it as "bacterial SSU rRNA". It matches the Rfam family "Bacterial small subunit ribosomal RNA", at positions 30 to 504 of the family's 1533-position model. The record is from RNAcentral.
UGAACGCUAGCGGCAGGCCUAAUACAUGCAAGUCGAGGGGUAACAUGAGAGCUUGCUCUUGAUGACGACCGGCGCACGGGUGCGUAACGCGUAUGCAACCUACCCACAACUGGAGCAUAGCCCGGAGAAAUUCGGAUUAAUACUCCAUAAUGCAGGGGUACCUCCUGGUACUAUUUGCUAAAGAUUUAUCGGUUGUGGAUGGGCAUGCGUCUGAUUAGUUUGUUGGUGAGGUAACGGCUCACCAAGACUACGAUCAGUAGGGGGUCUGAGAGGAUGAUCCCCCACACUGGCACUGAGAUACGGGCCAGACUCCUACGGGAGGCAGCAGUAGGGAAUAUUGGGCAAUGGGCGAAAGCCUGACCCAGCCAUGCCGCGUGAAGGAUGAAGGCCUUCUGGGUUGUAAACUUCUUUUAUAUAGGAAGAAAAAGGUCAUGCGUGACCAAUUGACGGUACUAUAUGAAUAAGCACCGGCUAACUCC